RNAcentral lists this ribosomal RNA (301 nucleotides) under uncultured bacterium. Its description in RNAcentral is "partial 16S ribosomal RNA". It matches the Rfam family "Bacterial small subunit ribosomal RNA", at positions 509 to 809 of the family's 1533-position model. The record is from RNAcentral.
CAGCAGCCACGGGAAUACGAAGGGUGCAAGCGUUACUCGGAAUUACUGGGCGUAAAGCGUGCGUAGGUGGUGGUUUAAGUCCGUUGUGAAAGCCCUGGGCUCAACCUGGGAAUUGCAGUGGAUACUGGGUCACUAGAGUGUGGUAGAGGAUGGUGGAAUUCCCGGUGUAGCGGUGAAAUGCGUAGAGAUCGGGAGGAACAUCAGUGGCGAAGGCGGCCAUCUGGGACAACACUGACGCUGAGGCACGAAAGCGUGGGGAGCAAACAGGAUUAGAUACCCGCGUAGUCCCUGUCUCUUAUAA